RNAcentral lists this ribosomal RNA (503 nucleotides) under uncultured bacterium. Its description in RNAcentral is "partial 16S ribosomal RNA". It matches the Rfam family "Bacterial small subunit ribosomal RNA", at positions 30 to 523 of the family's 1533-position model. The record is from RNAcentral.
AUUGAACGCUGGCGGCAGGCUUAACACAUGCAAGUCGAGCGGGGUGAUGGUGCUUGCACUAUCACUUAGCGGCGGACGGGUGAGUAAUGCUUAGGAAUCUGCCUAUUAGUGGGGGACAACAUCUCGAAAGGGAUGCUAAUACCGCAUACGUCCUACGGGAGAAAGCAGGGGAUCACUUGUGACCUUGCGCUAAUAGAUGAGCCUAAGUCGGACUAGUUAGUUGGUGGGGUAAAGGCCUACCAAGGCGACGAUCUGUAGCGGGUCUGAGAGGAUGAUCCGCCACACUGGGAAUGAGACACGGCCCAGACUCCUACGGGAGGCAGCAGUGGGGAAUAUUGGACAAUGGGGGGAACCCUGAUCCAGCCAUGCCGCGUGUGUGAAGAAGGCCUUAUGGUUGUAAAGCACGUUAAGCGAGGAGGAGGCUCUUUUGGUUAAUACCCAAGAUGAGUGGACGUUACUCGCAGAAUAAGCACCGGCUAACUCUGUGCCAGCCGCCGCCGUAA